This is a long non-coding RNA of Peromyscus eremicus (cactus mouse), 747 nucleotides long. RefSeq lists it as uncharacterized. NCBI's taxonomy places the organism in Eukaryota, Metazoa, Chordata, Mammalia, Rodentia, Cricetidae. The record is from RefSeq and is a predicted model, not a curated record. The transcript has 3 exons.
CACAGGAUUCCCAGAGCUCUACCUAAUGUUUCGCUGUGGAUCUCUGCAUUUGAUUUCAUCAGUUGCUGGGUAAAGCCUCUGAUGACCAUUGGGCUAGGUUUUAAAACAAAGAACAUUCCACAGUGUUAAUUCAGUGUGAGAUGAAAAAUACUCAGACUCAGAGAGAGUAAGUGUAGAAGCUCUGCAGUGCAACUUGAAAUCAGGGGUGGUGGUACCUCCAGCAGUUAAUUCUCAACAGAGGAAUCUCAAACAGCUGAGAGCCACUUAAAGAAAUAUUCAACAUACUUAGCCAUCAGGGAAAUACAAAGAAAAACUCCUUUGAGAUUCCAUCUUAUACCUGUCAGAAUGGCUAAGAUAAAAAUCACAAGUGACAGCUCAUGCUGGUAAGUGUGUGGAGCAUGGCAAACACUCCUCCAUUGCUGGUGGGAAUGCAAACUUAUACAGCCACUAUGGAAAUCAAUAUGGCAGUUCCUCAGAAAACUGAGACUCAAUCUACCUCAAGACCCAGCUAUACCACUUUUGGGCAUAUACCCAAAGGAAGCUCCAUCCUACCACAAGGAAACUUACUCAUCUCUGUUCAUAGCAGCUUUACUCAUAAUAACCAGAAACUGGAAACAGCCUAGAUGUCCCUCAACUGAAGAAUAGAAAAAUAAAAUGUGGUACAUUUACAUAAUGGAAUAUUAUUCAGCUGUUAAAAACAAUGACAUCAUGAAAUUUGCAGGCAAAUGGAUGGAACUAGAAAAAAAA